GACGAACGCUGGCGGCGUGCUUAACACAUGCAAGUCGUACGGUAAGGCCCUUUCGGGGGUACACGAGUGGCGAACGGGUGAGUAACACGUGAGUAACCUGCCCACAACUUUGGGAUAACGCUAGGAAACUGGUGCUAAUACUGGAUAUGUGCUCCUGCUGCAUGGUGGGGGUUGGAAAGCUCCGGCGGUUGUGGAUGGACUCGCGGCCUAUCAGCUUGUUGGUGGGGUAGUGGCCUACCAAGGCGGCGACGGGUAGCCGGCCUGAGAGGGUGACCGGCCACAUUGGGACUGAGAUACGGCCCAGACUCCUACGGGAGGCAGCAGUGGGGAAUAUUGCACAAUGGGCGCAAGCCUGAUGCAGCAACGCCGCGUGCGGGAUGACGGCCUUCGGGUUGUAAACCGCUUUCAGCAGGGACGAAGCUUUUUAUGACGGUACCUGCAGAAGAAGCACCGGCUAACUACGUG
This 465-nucleotide ribosomal RNA is filed under the name uncultured bacterium. RNAcentral describes it as "partial 16S ribosomal RNA". It matches the Rfam family "Bacterial small subunit ribosomal RNA", at positions 28 to 507 of the family's 1533-position model. The record is from RNAcentral.